This 253-nucleotide ribosomal RNA is filed under the name uncultured bacterium. Its description in RNAcentral is "partial 16S ribosomal RNA". It matches the Rfam family "Bacterial small subunit ribosomal RNA", at positions 524 to 776 of the family's 1533-position model. The record is from RNAcentral.
UACGGGGGGGGCAAGCGUUGUUCGGAAUUACUGGGCGUAAAGGGCUCGUAGGCGGCCAACUAAGUCGGAUGUGAAAUCCCCAGGCUUAACCUGGGAACUGCAUCCGAUACUGGAUGGCUUGAAUUCGGGAGAGGGAUGCAGAAUUCCAGGUGUAGCGGUGAAAUGCGUAGAUAUCUGAAGGAAUACCGGUGGCGAAGGCGGCAUCCUGGACCGACAUUGACGCUGAGGAGCGAAAGCUAGGGGAGCAAACGGG